This 386-nucleotide ribosomal RNA is filed under the name uncultured bacterium. RNAcentral's name for it is "bacterial SSU rRNA". It matches the Rfam family "Bacterial small subunit ribosomal RNA", at positions 30 to 418 of the family's 1533-position model. The record is from RNAcentral.
AUUGAACGCUGGCGGUAUGCUUAACACAUGCAAGUCGAACGGUAACAGGCCUUCGGGCGCUGACGAGUGGCGGACGGGUGAGUAAUACAUCGGAACGUGCCCAAUCGUGGGGGAUAACGUAGCGAAAGUUACGCUAAUACCGCAUACGAUCUACGGAUGAAAGCGGGGGAUCGCAAGACCUCGCGCGAAUGGAGCGGCCGAUGUCAGAUUAGGUAGUUGGUGGGGUAAAGGCUCACCAAGCCGACGAUCUGUAGCUGGUCUGAGAGGACGACCAGCCACACUGGGACUGAGACACGGCCCAGACUCCUACGGGAGGCAGCAGUGGGGAAUUUUGGACAAUGGGCGCAAGCCUGAUCCAGCCAUUCCGCGUGCAGGAUGAAGGCCUU